This 27-nucleotide small RNA is filed under the name Bombyx mori (domestic silkworm). RNAcentral's name for it is "ovarian small RNA-13436". The record is from RNAcentral. Lineage: Eukaryota; Metazoa; Arthropoda; Insecta; Lepidoptera; Bombycidae.
CAUUACAGUUCAGCAGUAGUGCUCAGC